GUGACACGUCACAGAGCUGCCACCGCUAGAGGAAUAUCGCCCUUGUGUCACUUGCGCGAUCAGACCUGAAAUCAGUUGAGAUCAACACACAGCACUGAACGAGGGCACGAGCUGGUCACUUCACCCGCCGCUGUCUCAGUACGCCCAGUCUUUCUUAACAUGGGGCUCAGAUAAAUCUGCAUAGUCACUAAGUGAAGGGGGGCAGGAUGAAGGUAUAAAAGAUGAAAAACAGCAGGAGUUCUGUAAAAAUACAUAGAGAGAGAGAAGAGAUGUCAUUCUGACAAACACCUUCAGCUGAAAUGAUAUAAAGAUGAUGAUCACCUCCUAAUAGCUGAUGAGGAGCUGUAGGUUUUGGAGGAGGAUGAUGAUGAGGGCAUCGUUAAGCUCUUCCUCAGAGAUGAGGCAUUAGUGCUGAUCGCCGCUCUGGACGGCAAGACCAAAGAUGCCGGCCGUGCUGCUAUAAAAAUACAGUGGAUGAUUUAAGAUCGGUGCUCGCGUCUCUCUGGAGGAGCAUUCAGAUGUGAAUGAGAAUGUGAUGGAUGUAUAAUAGUUUUAUACUGAACUAUUAGUCGUCACCAAACGUCUCAUUGAAGUAUAAUUUGUAUAAGUAUAAUUUGUGUUGUGCUGAUAUGAUCUCUGUGUGUGUGUGGCACCUUUAGC
Long non-coding RNA from Misgurnus anguillicaudatus (oriental weatherfish), 660 nucleotides. RefSeq lists it as uncharacterized. The record is from RefSeq and is a predicted model, not a curated record. NCBI's taxonomy places the organism in Eukaryota, Metazoa, Chordata, Actinopteri, Cypriniformes, Cobitidae.